UACGGAGGGUGCGAGCGUUAAUCGGAAUUACUGGGCGUAAAGCGCGCGUAGGUGGUCAGGCAAGUCGGGUGUGAAAGCCCUGGGCUCAACCUGGGAAUUGCAUUCGAAACUAUCUGACUAGAGUAUGGGAGAGGGAAGCGGAAUUUCCGGUGUAGCGGUGAAAUGCGUAGAUAUCGGAAGGAACACCAGUGGCGAAGGCGGCUUCCUGGACUAAUACUAACACUGAGGUGCGAAAGCGUGGGGAGCAAACAGG
This 253-nucleotide ribosomal RNA is filed under the name uncultured bacterium. Its description in RNAcentral is "partial 16S ribosomal RNA". It matches the Rfam family "Bacterial small subunit ribosomal RNA", at positions 524 to 776 of the family's 1533-position model. The record is from RNAcentral.